ACACAUUAGUCAGGAAAGGCAACUCAGUGAUCCCUUCAGCUCCAAUGAUGAACUUUGUGCGUGCCCAGAUCAAGAAAGCAGCUGAUGAGACCGAGACUAUUUUGGAAACAACCCCGGCUAGCAAAAGCGAUGGGGAAGGUGCACUUCGAGCAUUCAUUAAGCGCCAGGGCCAAAAGUUAAGGUGGCUAUCAAACCUUUUCGGUUGUCGUGACCCCGAG
Molecule: long non-coding RNA, 218 nt
Organism: Triticum aestivum (bread wheat)
Lineage: Eukaryota; Viridiplantae; Streptophyta; Magnoliopsida; Poales; Poaceae
Exons: 3
Source: RefSeq, a predicted model, not a curated record